AAGGCUUUAAGUUAAUUAAACUAUUAUCCUUCAAAGCUAAAAAUGAAGUGAAUUCUUUAAGCCUUA
RNAcentral lists this transfer RNA (66 nucleotides) under Eucorydia linglong. RNAcentral's name for it is "tRNA-Trp". Lineage: Eukaryota; Metazoa; Arthropoda; Insecta; Blattodea; Corydiidae. The record is from RNAcentral.